Molecule: ribosomal RNA, 430 nt
Filed under: uncultured bacterium
Lineage: Bacteria
Description: bacterial SSU rRNA
Rfam family: Bacterial small subunit ribosomal RNA
Source: RNAcentral
CUAACACAUGCAAGUCGAACGAGAAAGGGGCUUCGGCCCUGAGUAUAGUGGCGUACGGGUGAGUAACACGUGAAUCAUCUACCUUCGAGUGGGGAAUAGCUGAGGGAAACCUUAAUUAAUACCGCAUAAUACCCAAGGGUCAAAGCGAGUAAUCGCGCUUGAAGAGGAGUUCGCGGCAGAUUAGUUAGUUGGCGGGGUAAUGGCCCACCAAGACGAUGAUCUGUAUCCGGCCUGAGAGGGCGCACGGACACACUGGAACUGAAACACGGUCCAGACUCCUACGGGAGGCAGCAGUGGGGAAUUUUGCGCAAUGGGGGAAACCCUGACGCAGCAACGCCGCGUGGAGGAUGAAGUAUCUCGGUACGUAAACUCCUUUCGAUGGGGAAGAUAAUGACGGUACCCAUAGAAGAAGCCCCGGCUAACUUCGUGC